CCAGCAUUUUGGAUUUAAACACCCGAGGAGAUACAAUUUAACCAGGCAGUCCAGAUAAGGCUGGCACACUUUGGCCCCAACCCCUCAGCAGACAUUGUGGAAUGUGUGCAGGCAGCAGUGAUGGCACACCAAGCGCUCCAGGAAAGAGGAGCUGCAGCAGCAGAGGUACCCAAUAAUAAUAUUGGAAGAAAAAAGGUACCCUUUGCUGCAUUUAAAAUUUUUAUUGAGACAGAGGGAGAGAUUGACGGGUUCCUGGCUGACUUUGAAAGGCAGUGUGCCCUACACCAGGUACCCGCAGACGAAUGGGUCACCAUCCUUUC
This is a non-coding RNA of Pelobates cultripes (western spadefoot toad), 320 nucleotides long. The record is from the annotation of a GenBank genome assembly. NCBI's taxonomy places the organism in Eukaryota, Metazoa, Chordata, Amphibia, Anura, Pelobatidae.